This 387-nucleotide ribosomal RNA is filed under the name uncultured Sphingobacteriales bacterium. RNAcentral's name for it is "bacterial SSU rRNA". It matches the Rfam family "Bacterial small subunit ribosomal RNA", at positions 992 to 1382 of the family's 1533-position model. Lineage: Bacteria; Pseudomonadati; Bacteroidota; Sphingobacteriia; Sphingobacteriales. The record is from RNAcentral.
UGACUGUAGGUGAAAGCUUACAUCUCUUCGGAGCAUUUUACGAGGUGCUGCAUGGUUGUCGUCAGCUCGUGCCGUGAGGUGUCGGUUAAGUCCCAUAACGAGCGCAACCCUACCUUUAGUUGCCAUCAGGUAAUGCUGGGGACUCUAAAGGAACUGCCUACGCAAGUAGUGAGGAAGGCGGGGAUGACGUCAAAUCAGCACGGCCCUUACGUCCAGGGCUACACACGUGCUACAAUGGCCGAUACAGAGGGCAGCUACCUGGUGACAGGAUGCAAAUCUCCAAAGUCGGUCUCAGUUCGGAUCGGAGUCUGCAACCCGACUCCGUGAAGUUGGAUUCGCUAGUAAUCGCGCAUCAGCCAUGGCGCGGUGAAUACGUUCCCGGGCCUU